RNAcentral lists this long non-coding RNA (1907 nucleotides) under Homo sapiens (human). RNAcentral describes it as "HSALNT0308302". The record is from RNAcentral. Lineage: Eukaryota; Metazoa; Chordata; Mammalia; Primates; Hominidae.
UCUACCAAAAAAGAAAAGAGAUAAGUAUCAGAUGCCAGCAAGCCACUGAUGACACCAGUAGACAUCAGGAAAACCAAAUCUCUAAGCCACAGGUAAGCUUUUUUUUUUUUUUUUUUUUUUUAUACACCAGAAGAAUCAGAAAACAUGAAGAUGAGGUCAGGCAGAUAAAAUUAUUAAUCCUAAAAGAAUAGUGGACUGUUUUGUAAAUGGAACUGGAAGAAAAUGAUAUUGAAAGAGAGGUUACAGAAGUGUAAGACAGACAAUUCAAAAACUGGGUCAAAUAAAAUUCAUAAAGAUGCUUAAACUAUAGCAGAAUAAAACAGAAGCCAGGGGCAGAGUAAUGAUGAUCCUCUACUAUGGAGAUUUCUGAGACAUUCUGUAGAGACUGAGAGGGACAGGAGGCACAGAAAUUGUACACAGAAAAAGGGCAGGGUCCCUGGCCAAGACCCACUCUCAAGCCCAAAGUGAGAACUUUACAUUCCUGUUUUCCUGCUCAAAUAUUGCCUUUUCCAAAACCACCCCUGGCCUACCCCACCCCGUAUCCUGUACCCAUAAAAAUCCCAGGCUCCACUGGCACAGAGCAGAGAAGAGGAGAAGCAGCUGCACGUCGGAGACUGCAGUCUGAGUCGGAGAGCAGCAGCUUGACUUUAGCGGGACUGCUUGAUGGCAGUACUUCAGGGGAAGAAUACGUUCCCACUCCAUCCCCAUUUUCCAGCUCUCUCCCUCCUGCUGAGAGCCACUUUCAAUGGCAAUAAAAUCCCCCGCGUUUACUAUCCUUCAAUUUGUUCAUAUGACCUGAUUUUUCAUGGAUGCUGGACAAGAGCUCAGGAUACAGAAAAGUGUCACAUUGACCCUCUGCCUUCAUGAAAAAGUAGAAGGUCUAUUGAGCUGUUAAAUACUUAAGCCGUCCUUGGACUGCAAAGCUAAAAGAGCAUUGUAACGCAUGCCCUCUGGGGCUCCAGGGGUCAUGGGUACUACCCUAGGCACUGCUGUGGGACUGCAUGGAGUUUUGAUCCUGCCGGUGGCCAAAAGUGCUUGCUCUAGCUCCUGCACCUGCUCACCUGCAUGCUCUCCCUCCCCCGAGGGGUUCAGAGCUUCAGGCUGAGAAAGUGAGGCACCCCUGUUGCAAGGCCUGUGAAGGGGUCAAGGAAAAUUUCCUGUUCAAAACCAUGCAUAGGAAUUCUAAUUACGUAAGUGAAGAAAAAGUAAAAUUCUGUAACUUUUCUUCUCUAAAGUAGCUUUUCUAAUUUAUUCCAAAACAAAUAUCUUUAUAGUUCAGAAAUAUUAUCUUGGACAAAUAUAGGGGUGAAGUGUAUCUGGCAGGUCUUGGUGGCAUGCAGAAAUAAGGUGUAUUUUCACAGAGGUAAUUCAUUGUUUUUCUAAACUUUCUGCAGUUAUAAGCAAAGAAAAUUUGAAGCCUCUAUUAAAAAAUCAUUCCUUCAACACAUCACUGACCAGGAACGUAAAUGGAUGAGCAGUAAGGACGCAAUGGAUUAAGCUCCUUUACAAGGGAAAGAUUUCUGAACUCCUCAAGCUCUUAUUGUGGGCCUUUAUUCUGCAAAGAAGGCUGCAGUGCCAGCGGAGCUGACUGCCAGUGCCAAGUGUGUGACUGACAUAACGUAUGGAGGUAAUUGCAGCAAAGCACAUCAUCUGAUCUUGAGAACCCAGCAGCCAUUCAGAGGAGCUCCAACCUACAUCCUCGUGCCAUUCCCCACCUCCCGCCACUGUCAGUGGCUUUGAGCAGCUCCAAUCCAUCUACACCCUCUGGCAAUGGCAGCCUCUUAACAGAAGAGCUCAGUCUGUGCCCUUUGACAAGUUUCUUCACCACCACAAGGCUGCACGUUCCUCUGGUAGCCACACACCUUCUUCGAUCAGGGAUUUGCCCUGUACCCCAGGCUAGAGUGCAG